This 46-nucleotide non-coding RNA is filed under the name Trichobilharzia regenti. Lineage: Eukaryota; Metazoa; Platyhelminthes; Trematoda; Strigeidida; Schistosomatidae. The record is from RNAcentral.
AUACUGAUGAACAGUCCGAAACUAGGACGAAACGGCUGUCCAGUAU